This 497-nucleotide ribosomal RNA is filed under the name uncultured bacterium. RNAcentral describes it as "bacterial SSU rRNA". It matches the Rfam family "Bacterial small subunit ribosomal RNA", at positions 28 to 478 of the family's 1533-position model. The record is from RNAcentral.
GAUGAACGCUGGCGGCGUGCCUAAUACAUGCAAGUCGAACGCAUUGUGGUUGAAAUGAUAUGAAGAACUUGUUCAGAUUUGAUUUUCAACAUUGCAAUGAGUGGCGAACGGGUGAGUAACACGUGGGAAACCUACCUCUUAGCAGGGGAUAACAUUUGGAAACAAAUGCUAAUACCGUAUAAUAAUUAAAACCGCAUGGUUUUAGUUUAAAAGAUGGUCUUGCUAUCACUAAGAGAUGGUCCCGCGGUGUAUUAGUUAGUUGGUGAGGUAAUGGCUCACCAAGACAAUGAUACAUAGCCGAGUUGAGAGACUGACCGGCCACAAUGGGACUGAGACACGGCCCAUACUCCUACGGGAGGCAGCAGUAGGGAAUCUUCCACAAUGGACGAAAGUACUGAUGGAGCAACGCCGCGUGUGUGAUGAAGGGUUUCGGCUCGUAAAACACUGUUGUAAGAGAAGAAUGACAUUGAGAGUAACUGUUCAAUGUGUGACGGUAU